Molecule: ribosomal RNA, 291 nt
Filed under: uncultured bacterium
Lineage: Bacteria
Description: partial 16S ribosomal RNA
Rfam family: Bacterial small subunit ribosomal RNA
Source: RNAcentral
GUGGAUUAGAUACCCUGGUAGUCCACGCUGUAAACGAUGAAUACUAGGUGUGGGGGGACUAACCCCCUCCGUGCCGGAGUUAACACAAUAAGUAUUCCACCUGGGGAGUACGGCCGCAAGGUUGAAACUCAAAGGAAUUGACGGGGGCCCGCACAAGCAGUGGAUUAUGUGGUUUAAUUCGAAGCAACGCGAAGAACCUUACCAGGGCUUGACAUCCAACUAACGAAGCAGAGAUGCAUUAGGUGCCCUUCGGGGAAAGUUGAGACAGGUGGUGCACGGCCGUCGCCAACU